UACGGGGGGGGCAAGCGUUGUUCGGAAUUACUGGGCGUAAAGGGCGUGUAGGCGGCCAACUAAGUCCGACGUGAAAUCCCCAGGCUUAACCUGGGAACUGCGUCGGAUACUGGAUGGCUUGAAUCCGGGAGAGGGAUGCAGAAUUCCAGGUGUAGCGGUGAAAUGCGUAGAUAUCUGGAGGAAUACCGGUGGCGAAGGCGGCAGCCUGGACCGGCAUUGACGCUGAAGCGCGAAAGCUAGGGGAGCAAACGGG
Molecule: ribosomal RNA, 253 nt
Filed under: uncultured bacterium
Lineage: Bacteria
Description: partial 16S ribosomal RNA
Rfam family: Bacterial small subunit ribosomal RNA
Source: RNAcentral